AAACGAUUAAAGUCAGUCGUACCGAUGAGCAUUCAGCCUUUUGGGUGUGAUUAUGUGGUACAUGAAAAGAUUUCGUGAAUUGCAUAUUUGUUCCUUUUGGGUGUACUUGUUCGUAUGGUAGGUUAACAUCAAUUUCAGUUGUCAUAAAAUGGCGGGAGGAAUGUGGCUUCUCCGGAAGUGUUAUAGCCUCUGGUAGAUGUGAUGACAGAGAUUGAGGAUUGCAACGAAUACCCUCAGGGCUACCUGCCUGGCCUCUGGUCGUCGCUUUGGUGCCGAAAGCGUGCUUAUGGUAUUAAAGUAGGUGGUCAAAAGGUUAGAACGGGUUAAAUUCGUUAAGGAUGUUGACUUAAUGACUUUAAACGA
RNAcentral lists this ribosomal RNA (363 nucleotides) under Rhizophagus sp. (in: glomeromycetes). Its description in RNAcentral is "LSU rRNA". Lineage: Eukaryota; Fungi; Glomeromycota; Glomeromycetes; Glomerales; Glomeraceae. The record is from RNAcentral.